Molecule: long non-coding RNA, 444 nt
Filed under: Salvia miltiorrhiza (redroot sage)
Lineage: Eukaryota; Viridiplantae; Streptophyta; Magnoliopsida; Lamiales; Lamiaceae
Description: long non-coding RNA (SMIL_LNC000015)
Source: RNAcentral
UCAAUUCCGGACAGAAUGCAGCGUGAGCCGCGGAUGACUACUCAGCCGGGGCUGACUCGCGUUUAAGCAAAUAGAGGUGAGCCGGGCAGAACGCAGUGUGCGCCGGGGGUGGCCAGUCAGCCCGGUUGACUUCCUUUAAAAACAAAAUCGAAAAAAACAAAAAGAAAAGAAAAUAAAGGAGUGGAGCCCUAAUUUGAAUCUGCCAACUAUCAUCUCGCGACUCCACAUCCAUCGGUCGCCCACUUUCAUCAUCUCCCGCAUUCCUCCUCGCCACCAAACGUCGCCGGUCGCCUAUCAUUUCUCGUCCAGAACCUGCGCACCACUUGAACGCACCAUUUCUUCUGCAACGCCGGCCUCUGCGCGAAUCAGUCGGCCGUAAAAGGCGCAUCUCAUGCAGUUAAAGCGGACGAGGAUCCCGUUGCUUCACCCGCACUAUCACUCACA